RNAcentral lists this ribosomal RNA (301 nucleotides) under uncultured bacterium. Its description in RNAcentral is "partial 16S ribosomal RNA". It matches the Rfam family "Bacterial small subunit ribosomal RNA", at positions 509 to 807 of the family's 1533-position model. The record is from RNAcentral.
CAGUAGCCGCGGUAAUACGGAGGGUGCAAGCGUUAAUCGGAAUUACUGGGCGUAAAGCGCACGCAGGCGGUUUGUUAAGUCAGACGUGAAAUCCCCGAGCUUAACUUGGGAACUGCAUUUGAAACUGGCAAGCUAGAGUACGGUAGAGGGGGAUGGAAUUCCGCGUGUAGCAGUGAAAUGCGUAGAUAUGCGGAGGAACACCGAUGGCGAAGGCAAUCCCCUGGACCUGUACUGACGCUCAUGCACGAAAGCGUGGGGAGCAAACAGGAUUAGAUACCCCGGUAGUCCCUGUCUCUUAUAC